This is a non-coding RNA of Candidatus Wildermuthbacteria bacterium, 71 nucleotides long. Lineage: Bacteria; Candidatus Wildermuthiibacteriota. The record is from Rfam.
GCCCCCAUAGCUCAAUGGCAGAGCAGAGGACUCUUAAUCCUUUGAUGGAAGUUCGACUCUUCCUGGGGGCA